Molecule: long non-coding RNA, 2179 nt
Filed under: Sus scrofa (pig)
Lineage: Eukaryota; Metazoa; Chordata; Mammalia; Artiodactyla; Suidae
Description: lncRNA (ENSSSCG00055001943.1)
Source: RNAcentral
UGUGUGGCUGUCAGCCACCAUCAGCUCUCUGCUCCUGGUCUCCAUCCCCACGGGGCCCAGGGUGCCCUGAGCCCAGGAGUUAGGCAAAGGCUGGGCAUCCAGCCUCCUCACCCCAAGCUGGGGACUUCAGCCGGGGCUGGGGCUGGCGGGUCUGAGGAGGGUGUUCUUCAGCUGCCUGAGCCAGGCUGGCCCCGGGGGCCGCUGUGUCCUUGAGACCCACCCCGGUGUCUGAGAUCUUAACUUGCACUGGAGCAAUUAAAAAAAAGCCUCUUCUUCUCUUAGGAUCUGAGUCACAUCAUAAUAUAUGAGGGCAGAGACACUGAGAGAGACCCCAUCCACAAUAAAAAAAAAAAUAAGUAAUAUAAAUGAUAAAUCAUAAAAUAGCUAUUAUUUUUGAUAGAAUCCAAUAAAUAUGAAUGCAUACAUAUUUGAGCACAAUAAUACUCAAGCAUUGAAUAUUUACCAAGCACUGUGCUAAGCUUGCAGUAUCUCACUUAAUCCUGACAACAGCCCUCAGAGGCAGGCAUUAGAAUUAUUAUCCUAUUAUACAGACUAAACCGAGGCAGAGAAAUGACAUUAUUUGCCCAGGGUCACAGGAUAAAGAAGAUGAGCCAGGACUGAAAGGCCAUCCGACACCCAGGCCUGCAGGAGAGUGAAUAUAACAUUGUACAUACAGAACCUUCACAUAGCUGUCCCCCCACCCCAGCUCCCAGGCCCCCAUCCCACUGCCACCUUGUCCCACCCCGUCUCAGUGGCCUUUUUCAGUCCAGAUUAGGCCAUACUUCCCUCACCCACUGUCCAGCACACUUUCCAUAAUUAAAAAAGAAACAAUCUCAUGGACACGGAGAUCAGAUAUGUGGUUGCCAAGGGGGAGGGGAAGAGAGGGGGACGGACUGGGAGUUUGGGGUUAGUAGACGCAAACGGUUGCAUUUGGAGUGGAUGAGCAAUGAGAUCCUGCUGUAUGGCACAGGGAACUCUCUCCAGCCACUUGUGAUGGAACAUGAUGGAGGAUAAAGUGAGAAAAAGAAUAUAUAUAUACAUGACUGGGUCACCUUGCUGUACAGCAGAAAUUGACAGAACAUUGUAAAUCAACUAUAACAGAAAACAUAAAAAUCUUAAAAAUAAAAAAAAAAUCAGUCAAGGGAGUUCCUGUCGUGGCUCAAUGGUAAUGAACCCAACUAGGAUCCAUGAGGACACAGGUUCAAUCCCUGGCCUCGCUCAGUGGGUUAAGGAUCCAGUGUUGCCGUGACCUGGGGUAUAGGUCUCAGACACACCUUGGAUCUGGCGUGGCUAUGGCUGUGGAGUAGGCCAGUGGCUAUAGCUCCGAUUUGACCCCUAGCCUGGAAACCUCCAUAUGCUGUGGAUGCGGCCCUAAAAAGCAAUAAAUAAAUAAAAGUCAAUCCCUGGAGGUGAGAAAAUGUAGGAACUAAGUCAAGCACCUUGAAGAUUCACUGUGCUGGGAAGUGGUUCCUUCAAGGGGCAUCCACGGAAAUUUUCACCAGCCUCGCCUUCUCUCAUUCAGGGCCCUCAUAGCUGUUAAGUGCCCUUAAGAGCCUACGGGAAUGUUUAAGGCUCUUGCAGCGAACUCCAAAGAAAAGAAAACUGCAAAAUUGAAAUUAAUGGAGGUUUGAUUAAAUUCCUGCAGAAACAUCACGCUAAGCUUCAUGAAUAGUUAAAUUUGGAAUUCAUAAAAAAUUCAUGAUGCUGAAAAACAAUAAGGCUUGCUUUUCUUUGCCGAGAUUUGCUAGUUGGCAUAAUGAUUGUUGAGAAACCACGGCCAGUCGUAAAUUAGAUGCCGUCCUUGUAGGCGAACCGUUUCAAAAGCGGAAUUAUAAAAGUCAUAUCCUAUUUUUUUACAGCCAAAAUGUUAAAUAAUUUGUUCGAAUCAGCCAGAUGGGAAUCACGGGUGAUGUGGAUGUUGACUACUCUGAAAGGACAUGGGGUGAAGUCGCCAAAAGAAGAAUCCCUUAAAUCAUACCGCCACCCCAAACCUUGAGAAAGUUCCACAUAUGCAAGAAACAGAGCCCGGUUGCUAGAGGGAAAGGGUGGCCCUGAUUGAUAGGGUGCCCCUUGGCCCUGAGUGGGGAGGCCCAUGCGGGGACCUGGCCUUCUUGAAUGAAACGCAGCAUUUAUCCAGCCAGCCCAUCCCUGGAAACUGUUUGCAUGUGUCCAAUAGGUU